GCCCUGUGAAGGUGAGCAAAUCCCAAAAAUAACGUCCCAGUUCGGAUUGUAGUCUGCAACCCGACUACAUGAAGCUGGAAUCGCUAGUAAUCGCGGAUCAGAAUGCCGCGGUGAAUACGUUCCCGGGUCUUGUACACACCGCCCGUCACACCAUGGGAGUCGGAAAUGCCCGAAGCCGGUGACUCAACCUUUAAGGAGAGAGCCGUCGAAGGCAGGUCUGAUAACUGGGGUGAAGUCGUAACAAGGUACC
This 250-nucleotide ribosomal RNA is filed under the name uncultured bacterium. RNAcentral describes it as "partial 16S ribosomal RNA". It matches the Rfam family "Bacterial small subunit ribosomal RNA", at positions 1252 to 1500 of the family's 1533-position model. The record is from RNAcentral.